This 280-nucleotide long non-coding RNA is filed under the name Ananas comosus (pineapple). Its description in RNAcentral is "long non-coding RNA (ACOM_LNC040864)". The record is from RNAcentral. Lineage: Eukaryota; Viridiplantae; Streptophyta; Magnoliopsida; Poales; Bromeliaceae.
CAGGUUCCACCACUCGGGUCGCGUAUCCAUGGCCACUUGGCGCUCGCCGCGAACCCUCCGGUUGCAUCGUCCUCAACGGCCGCUCUCCCGACCAUGCCGCAGGUGGCACACCUACAGGCUGUCCCAGAGAGGAAUAGGCCGUCGCCAGUGUCAAGGCCCGGUUAUCACCUUGGGGACACUCGUCCCGCGUAUGACCCGGCAGCCCACACUUAAAACACUUGCCCUCUCGCUGAUCACACUGCUGUGGAUAGUGAGGGCCUCCACAAAUAACACAUCUCGC